Molecule: long non-coding RNA, 822 nt
Organism: Hordeum vulgare subsp. vulgare (domesticated barley)
Lineage: Eukaryota; Viridiplantae; Streptophyta; Magnoliopsida; Poales; Poaceae
Exons: 4
Source: RefSeq, a predicted model, not a curated record
CCACCCGCAGGCCAAACCCUUGCUCAGAUCCCAUCCCCCCAUCGCACCUUUCCUCCCUCGUCCCCAUCUCCUCGCCACUGUCGCCACCUCCUCCCCGUCCCCGCCCCCUUCCAAUCCAGUCCUCUCCCCGCCGCUUACACCCAUCGCCGACCUCGCCAUCCUCCUCACCCACCAUUCCCCGUUCCACAUACCUCCCCGUUCCCCGUUCCCCUCCAUUUUCUACCUCUCUCGUAGGAUCCAGAUCCAGGGGAGCUCCCUCCCUCUCCCGCGGGAUGCAGAUCUAGGAGUUCAUCCUGCACCCUGCAACCGUCAGUCCGGGUCGAGCUGACCCCGACCCGAUCAGAUCCCUCGUUGCCCGGCCUCCUCAGAUCUCCCCACACGCUCAAAUUCUCGACACAGAGGUCUUGCCGGUGGGGGUCCGCGUCAGGAAGCUUGUUGGCUGCUGCUGCUUCUUGCUUUGGGUGCGCUAUAGCGAACCCGGCCGACGGAGAUGGGAGUGUUAGGGGAGAAGUUCCAUCUGGGGACGGUGGGGGAGCUCAGCCUGUCCGUGGUCUCCUCGGUCUCCAUUGUCAUAUGCAACAAGGCUCUCAUGAGCGCCCUUGGCUUCAUCUUCGAUUCUUCAGCUGUCAGAUGAGGCGGAGAAACUCUUCUUGAAGCACUUAGCAGGCAACAACACGAGGAGUUCUAGACGAAGAAAUUCGAAGAAAGCUCGAAGCCCGAGUUAGCGACUUGCUUUAUAUGUUAUUGAACUUGUAAUGCUAAAUUUGUUGAGAAUUUUUAUGACCUGGUGAACAUGUUAUGCAAGAUGUUAUUUGUUGUUUA